GCAACGGAUAUCUCGGCUCACGCAUCSAUGAAGAACGCAGCAAAAUGGUWGAUYYSGUGUGAAUUKCACAAUCCCCGUGAGACCAUCKAGUUUUUGAACGCAAGUUGCGCCCAAACCCAUCMGGUUGAGGGCACUGCCUGCCUGGGCAGUCACGCAUCGCGUCGCAU
RNAcentral lists this ribosomal RNA (167 nucleotides) under Tragopogon paradoxus. RNAcentral's name for it is "5.8S ribosomal RNA". It matches the Rfam family "5.8S ribosomal RNA". Rfam says of the family: 5.8S ribosomal RNA (5.8S rRNA) is a component of the large subunit of the eukaryotic ribosome. The record is from RNAcentral. Lineage: Eukaryota; Viridiplantae; Streptophyta; Magnoliopsida; Asterales; Asteraceae.